CAAAAGCCUGGUCCUGACUUUAAGAUCAGUUGUAGUUUAACUUACACAUGCAAGUCACCGCGCCCCUGUGAGAAUGCCCUUUAUACCCGCUAGGAAAAAAGGAGCGGGCAUCAGGCACCAUUAUUCGCCCAAGACGCCUUGCAAAGCCACACCCCCAAGGGAACUCAGCAGUGAUGAACCUUAAGCUAUGAGCGAAAGCUUGACUUAGUUAAAACUAAAAGAGUCGGUUAAACUCGUGCCAGCCACCGCGGUUAUACGAGAGACUCUAAUUGAUAUCCUACGGCGUAAAGAGUGGUAAGAGAACCCGUACACUAAAGCCAAAUAACUCUCAUGCUGUCAUACGCUAACAGAUAUCACGAAGAACAACAACGAAGGUAGCUUUACAAAACUCAAAACCACGACAGCUAGGACACAAACUGGGAUUAGAUACCCCACUAUGCCUAGCCAUAAACCACGGCGGUUACACUUACAAAAUCGUCCGCCAGGGGACUACGAGCGUUAGCUUAAAACCCAAAGGACUUGGCGGUACCUCAAACCCGCCUAGAGGAGCCUGUUCUAUAACCGAUAACCCCCGUUAAACCUCACCACCCCUUGUCAUCCCCGCCUAUAUACCGCCGUCGCCAGUUUACCUUUUGAAAGAAUAACAGUAAGCAAAAAGGCUCAGCCCCAGAACGUCAGGUCGAGGUGUAGCGUAUGGAGUGGAAAGAAAUGGGCUACAUUCUCUGUCACAGAGCACACGGAAAAAGCAAUGAAACAUGCCUAUAUUUUUGAAGGUGGAUUUAGCAGUAAAAGGAAACAAGUGUGUUCCUUUGAAGACGGCUCUGAGGUGCGCACACACCGCCCGUCACUCUCCUCGAAAACCCCAAAAUUAGUACAUAAAUUUUAAGAAAAAAAAGAGGAGGCAAGUCGUAACAUGGUAAGUGUACCGGAAGGUGCACUUGGAACAAU
This 948-nucleotide ribosomal RNA is filed under the name Monopenchelys acuta (redface moray). RNAcentral describes it as "12S ribosomal RNA". It matches the Rfam family "Bacterial small subunit ribosomal RNA". The record is from RNAcentral. Lineage: Eukaryota; Metazoa; Chordata; Actinopteri; Anguilliformes; Muraenidae.